UACGGGGGGGGCAAGCGUUGUUCGGAAUUACUGGGCGUAAAGGGCUCGUAGGCGGCCAACUAAGUCGGACGUGAAAUCCCUCGGCUUAACCGGGGAACUGCGUCCGAUACUGGAUGGCUUGAGUUCGGGAGAGGGAUGCGGAAUUCCAGGUGUAGCGGUGAAAUGCGUAGAUAUCUGGAGGAACACCGGUGGCGAAGGCGGCAUCCUGGACCGGCAUUGACGCUGAGGCGCGAAAGCCAGGGGAGCAAACGGG
This 253-nucleotide ribosomal RNA is filed under the name uncultured bacterium. RNAcentral's name for it is "partial 16S ribosomal RNA". It matches the Rfam family "Bacterial small subunit ribosomal RNA", at positions 524 to 776 of the family's 1533-position model. The record is from RNAcentral.